GAUGAAGAAGGCAGCGAAAUGCGAUAAGUGAUGUGAAUUGCAGAAUUCAGUGAAUCAUCGAGUUUUUGAACGCAUAUUGCGCCCUCUGGUAUUCCGGGGGGCAUGCCUGUUCGAGCGUCAUUAAAUAACCCUCAAGCAUAGCUUGGUGUUGGGCUUUUUUACGUCCUUGACUGGGAUGGGCCUAAAAAUUAGUGGCGAUGGCUUUUUUACUUUCAAGCGUAGUAAAUCUCGUCUUGCUAAAGAGGAAAAAGAUUUUUUUUCUGCCAAAAAUUUUAACAUUUAAAGUUGACCUCGGAUCAGGUAGGAUUACCCGCUGAACUUAAGCAUAUCAAUAAGCGGAGGA
This 343-nucleotide unclassified non-coding RNA is filed under the name soil metagenome. RNAcentral's name for it is "partial contains 5.8S ribosomal RNA, internal transcribed spacer 2, and large subunit ribosomal RNA". The stretch from base 1 to 120 matches the Rfam family "5.8S ribosomal RNA", at positions 35 to 154 of the family's 154-position model. The record is from RNAcentral.